AUGACACUUGUGAGCCAUUCCACCCAAAAGAACAUGACACAUACACUUCAAAUCAAAUCCGGGGACAUGAUGUUGUACGCAGGCUUCCAGAACCCCCAACCAUACUGGUCCGCACUGCAGGAUAAUAGGCUGAUCGUUAACAAGGAUGGCGCCAUCUACUCUGCGAGUCUCAAUGCAACUUCUUGGUACUUCUAUGAUAAAUCAGGGUCUCUUCUAUCACAGUUCGUCAUAACGCAGCAGGGUGAUGCCAACACCACUUUAGCUGCUGUCCUCGAUGAGGAUGGGUCGAUCGCCUUCUAUAUGCUGCAGAGUGCGAAUGGCAAGACUAAUCUGCCAACCCCAAUCCCACAAGACUCGUGUGACACGCCAACCCACUGCAAACCAUACUCUAUUUGCAAUAGUGGGACAGGAUGCCAAUGCCCUUCAGUCCUCGGCUCCUCUCCAAACUGUGACCCUGGUCUCACAUCAUCUUGUAAAUCAAAAGAGGCGUUUCAGCUGGCUCAACUGGAAAGUGGAGUUGAAUAUAUCGGUACGAGCUUCACCUCACCUGUGGCUAAGACAAACAUCACAGGUUGCAAGAAUACUUGCAUGGGAAAUUGCUCAUGCAUCGCCGUCUUCUUUGACCAAAAAACAGGCAAUUGCUUCAUUUUUGACCAGAUUGGUAGCUUGCAGCAGGAAGGUGGAAAUAAAACUAAUUUUUCAUCUUUCAUCAAGGUAUCUAGCAGUGGCUCAGGGCAAGCUGGGAGUGGCAGUGGCGGUGGAAACCACAAUAUCAUUAUUGUUGUCAUUAUAGUUGGAACUUUGGCUGUCAUCGGUGGCCUCAUUUAUGUCGGUUUCUUCAUUUAUAGGAGGAAGAGGUAUCCUCCGUCCUCACAAGAUGAGGCUGGUUCAUCGGAGGACGAUGGAUAUCUGCAGACAAUAUCUGGAGCACCAGUGCGGUUCACUUACAGGGAGCUCCAGGAUGCAACAAACAACUUCUCUAACAAGCUUGGCCAAGGAGGAUUUGGAUCUGUAUAUCUGGGAACACUCCCAGAUGGCAGUCGCAUCGCUGUAAAGAAGCUGGAGGGAAUAGGUCAAGGGAGGAAAGAGUUCCGCUCCGAGGUGACAAUAAUUGGCAGCAUCCACCACAUCCAUCUAGUUAAACUCCGAGGCUUCUGUGCUGAGGAUUCACACAGGCUUCUUGCAUAUGAAUACAUGGCGAAAGGGUCACUUGAAAGGUGGAUCUUCCGUACCAAGGAGGAUGAUCCCCUUUUGGACUGGGAUACAAGGUUUAAUAUUGCACUUGGAGCAGCAAAGGGAUUGGCAUACCUCCAUCAAGACUGUGAAUCGAAGAUCAUUCAUUGCGACAUCAAGCCUGAGAAUUUCCUGCUUGAUGACAACUUCCUUGUGAAGGUAUCUGACUUUGGCCUUGCCAAGUUGAUGAGCAGGGAGCAGAGCCAUGUUUUUACGACGAUGAGAGGCACGCGGGGCUACCUCGCGCCCGAGUGGAUCACCAACUACGCCAUCUCAGAGAAGAGCGACGUAUACAGCUACGGGAUGGUUCUGCUUGAGAUUAUCAGCGGGAGGAAAAACUUUGACCCCGUGGAAGGCUCAGAAAAGGCCCAUUUCCCGUCCUUCGCUUUCAAGAAGCUGGAGGAGGGCGAUCUUCGCGAGAUCCUUGACGCCAAGCUGAUGUACAACGACAAGGAUGAGCGACUGGAAAUCGCGAUCAAGGUUGCUCUGUGGUGCAUCCAGGAGGAUUUCUACCAGAGACCGUCCAUGUCGAAGGUGGUUCAGAUGCUCGAGUGCGUCUGCGACGUGCCCCAGCCACCGAUAUCCUCACAGAUCGGAUAUAGGCUCUAUGCGAAUGCCCUCAAAUCGAGCAGCGAGGAGGGCAUGUCGUCGGGUAUGUCGGACUACAACAGUGAGGCUCUGCUUUCAGCAGUGCGGCUCUCUGGUCCUAGAUGA
Molecule: ribosomal RNA, 1947 nt
Filed under: Triticum aestivum (bread wheat)
Lineage: Eukaryota; Viridiplantae; Streptophyta; Magnoliopsida; Poales; Poaceae
Description: partial small subunit ribosomal RNA
Source: RNAcentral